Long non-coding RNA from Gorilla gorilla gorilla (western lowland gorilla), 1943 nucleotides. RefSeq lists it as uncharacterized. The transcript is spliced from 4 exons. NCBI's taxonomy places the organism in Eukaryota, Metazoa, Chordata, Mammalia, Primates, Hominidae. The record is from RefSeq and is a predicted model, not a curated record.
AGCAGAGCAGAGAGGUAGGAUUUUCAAAAUCUUCCUAUAUUUAUUUCUGAACUGUCGAGUGAUUGAACAAUUUCAGCAUAGUACAAAGUGUGCAGACUUGCUGCCUCCUCUUCUGUGAACUGGGCCGUUCUCCCAGUGCUCUUUUCUACUUGCCUGCACAGCUCCUGUGCCUAUCCUGGGGAGUGCCCCACGCCAAAGCUGUUAACAUGAUUUUCCUGCCCUACAGGGUUCUCCACCUUGUUUCUUAUGGGCGAGGCUCACACAUCUGAGUUCCUGAGGCCGGGAGUUGCCCAGGAAGACUGUCCUCCCUGACCUCUUUAAGCAGAGGAAGAAUGUGACACUCUAAGCCAGGUUGAUCAAUUUCUGUUCUGUAACACAUGGCAUCUCCAAACAAAAGAACUUUUCCUCAGAGAACACCUUUGGAAUCUGCACCAGAAUUUUAAAUCUGACUCCCUUGUUCCAGUUCUAAAUGAGAAUGUGCACACACCUGUGUGAUAGAGAUGCUGUGUGAGCUCAAACCAGGGCUUUGAGAACAAAUGAAUUAAGAAGCUGGCUGGAGGAGUCCUUUGAAAGGGCAUACCACACAGAUGAUGAACUAGUGUGUACUUCAAAAUCUACACAAGGCCCUCCUCAAUGAGCCGAGUGGGUUGGACUUUUGGACAAUGGACCGAACCCCGCUCUCCAUGUACUUUAAUCCCCUUGCCUCAAGGAAAAGAACCUGCCUAUUACUGCAUCGGUUCAAGAGUUUUGGGGGUAGCUAGCUGAGAAGAUGGGGUACCUAUUGUGCCACAUAUUGAUUUAAUUUUAUUUUCUUUGGAGUUUGGAGUCUUUUUAUCAGUCUGGUACAUUUUACUUCAUAGCUAAGUUUUAUAAGACAUGUUUAGAAAAAGAAGCCUUUAUACACGUUUAUUUUAAGCAUGUUUAUACAUACAUGUUAUUGAGCCUUUUCUCAUGACCUAUAAUUCUCAAACAUAUGUUAUCACCAGAAAAAGACAAGGUAUAAAAAUGCAAAGGGGAACUCUAUUUUAAGUCCCCCAAACUCUUCAAUCUUUGUGAAAACAACAUGCUCUACUUUGUGAAACUAGAAACUUGGGGAAUGUGAAUUGUACUUAAUCUAACUUACAAAGUGGCUCUAACUGGAAAAUAGGAAUGACCUUUGUUUUUUACAUCAUUACUGGGAAGCUCAGUUAUAAUACCAUCAUCAUUGUGCAGUUCAUGGAUUCAUGAACCACCAGAUAACAGAGGGCCUAAAGCAGAAUGGGUAGUUAAAAAGUAAUAAGGUAGGGCCAGACGUGGCCCACGCCUGUGAGUACCAGCACUUUGGGAGGCCAAGACAGGAGGAUUGCUUGAGCCCAGGAGUUUGAGACCAGCCUAGGCAACAUGGCAAAACCCUGUCUCUACAAAAAAAUACAAAAAUUAGCUGGGUGUGGUGGUGCAUGCCUGUAAUCCCAGCUACUAGGGAGGCUGAGGUGGGAGGAUCGCUUGAGCUCAGCAGGUUGAGGCUGCAGUGAACCAUGAGUGUGCCACUACACUCCAGCCUGGGCAACAGAGAGAGCUCCUGUCUCCAAAAAAAAAAAAAAAAAAAUAGCAAGGUACACAGGUAUCUCUAUGAAAAUGAAUGAUAGGCACUCCAUAAAGUACAAUUGUAGUUAGGAAUUUAGGAAUCAUGUACUAUUCUGUAUUUCCAGAUGAGUAUUGUUCUGGAUUAUCCAGAGGUGCAUGGAAAAGCUUGAGCCAAACUCUCGACUCAGUGUUUAUUCAACUACAGUAGGGUAUCAUUGCCGAGGCACUAGUGACACUUGGGGCUGGAUAAUUGUUUGUUGUACCGUGCUAUCCUGUGCAUUGUUGAAUGUUUAGCGGCUUCUACGUGUUAGAUGCUAGUAGCACUUCCUCCCCCCACCCCAACAUUGUCACAAUAAAAAAUCUAUGCAAACAUUGCCAAA